Heterocephalus glaber (naked mole-rat) is the source of this 171-nucleotide small nuclear RNA. Its record names the gene U4. It matches the Rfam family "U4 spliceosomal RNA". Rfam says of the family: U4 small nuclear RNA (U4 snRNA) is a component of the major U2-dependent spliceosome. The structure of U4 snRNA from yeast and human has been reported. The record is from Ensembl. NCBI's taxonomy places the organism in Eukaryota, Metazoa, Chordata, Mammalia, Rodentia, Bathyergidae.
GGCUUGGCCUCAGUGGCAGUAUCAUAGCCAAUGAGGUUUGUCCAAGGCACGAUUAUUGCUAAUUGAAAAAUUUUCAUGACUAGUCCUCUGUUUAGGCACAAGUACUUGUUUGAGAAGAAAGAUUGGUUUUUGUUGUAUUCUCCAAAUUAUUUUCACAAGGCUUUUUUAACA